AUUGAACGCUGGCGGCAUGCUUUACACAUGCAAGUCGAACGGUAACAGGCCGCAAGGUGCUGACGAGUGGCGAACGGGUGAGUAAUGCAUCGGAACGUGCCCAGUCGUGGGGGAUAACUACUCGAAAGAGUAGCUAAUACCGCAUACGAUCUAUGGAUGAAAGCGGGGGACCGUAAGGCCUCGCGCGAUUGGAGCGGCCGAUGUCAGAUUAGGUAGUUGGUGGGGUAAAGGCUCACCAAGCCAACGAUCUGUAGCUGGUCUGAGGGGACGACCAGCCACACUGGGACUGAGACACGGCCCAGACUCCUACGGGAGGCAGCAGUGGGGAAUUUUGGACAAUGGGCGCAAGCCUGAUCCAGCAAUGCCGCGUGCAGGAAGAAGGCCUUCGGGUUGUAAACUGCUUUUGUACGGAACGAAACGGCUCUGGUUAAUACCCGGGGCUAAUGACGGUACCGGAAGAAUAAGCACCGGCUAACUACGUG
Molecule: ribosomal RNA, 482 nt
Filed under: uncultured bacterium
Lineage: Bacteria
Description: partial 16S ribosomal RNA
Rfam family: Bacterial small subunit ribosomal RNA
Source: RNAcentral